This is a long non-coding RNA of Drosophila santomea, 1456 nucleotides long. RefSeq lists it as uncharacterized. The transcript has 6 exons. NCBI's taxonomy places the organism in Eukaryota, Metazoa, Arthropoda, Insecta, Diptera, Drosophilidae. The record is from RefSeq and is a predicted model, not a curated record.
GCUGCAGGCGUCACGCAGCAUCCGCGAAAAUUGCAAUUGAUUGAAUUUCGGCUCAAAUCGGUUACGAAUAGUGUUGAAAUUUAGUUAUUUAACGGAAUUACAUGUUCUACAUCGGUUUUCAAUUAGUUUUGUUUGGAAUUUAUCGUUUAAAUGGUUAAAUUCGGCAUUUUGCAGCAACCGCCGCUGUUAACCGUUAUCUCCGUUACCUUUUUCACCGUUUUCUCACUCGCGUUGCUUAAAAGUGAUGCAUUUCGUUAAUUUAUGUUUUUUUCUUGGCUAAAUAGUUAUUAGAAUGCAAUAAUAAUUGCUUUUAAAUGCGAUCCUUGAGCAGCAAAAUUGCGAAGUUUAUUUCGUCUAAACGGUAAAUUCCAACGGUUUUGUGCGCGGGUGCUCCGCUGGACAAGUGCGCGUGUGUGCGUGUGCAAGAAGAGCAGUGAAUCUAAUAUGAAAUUGAACUUCAAAACAUAUUGUUAUAUUUGUGUGUGUAUAUCGUUGCUUCAAAAUUAUAUGAGCGAAGGUUAAAAUUCCAAUUGGCCUUGGAUGUAUUAAUACUUAGUAAGUUUUAGUGGGCAUUUUCACUCGAGCGGAGAAACUGCGCCACAAGACAAAACGAGGUUAUUAUCUCCCCACUGUGCCGCUGCCACGCCCACUGUGCAACGCCCUAGUCUGCGCAUAUAUAGUCAUUCAUCUAUUUUCCACCAGGUAGUCAGGUACUAAUGCUUUGGCCUUUGGACGUAUUUAAAAAUCAUCAUCUGACAUUCACGUCUUUUUACAACCACUCACUUGGUAUUCAUUUACCUCUGGCACUCGGCACUCUGGCACUCAUAACUCACAUGUCGCCUUAUUAGCAAGCCAUGGCCAACUCAUUGAGUGGAUUCCGCCAGCUUCUGGUUUUCCUUUUGCUGUUUUGGCCAUUCACUUGCUGGCAUUUGGCGCAGAUUGGUCAAAGGGCAUCAGCCACCGAGAUCUCGGCUCCAAAGACAUAAACGUGGACAUGGACCGUGGACCUGAUGGAGCUGAUGGAACUGAUGGAGCUGCAGCUGAAUUAGGAGUGGGAGUUUCGAACGUGAGCCAAGUGCCACACCCUUUUGGGAUACUACACUGUACGAAGAGAGCAACCAAAAAUCAUGAUAACUAUGUUAUAUAACAUUUUGGUCAAAUCAAUUUUUCUGAGUGCAACUGAAAGAGUUGCGCGGGCUGGAUAACAUUUUCCCACAGGCGCCGCCGUCAGGCGCUGCCAUAAACGAGCUACGUGUCGCCAUCAGGUGGCGUUGUCCCGCCCCAGCACUCGCAUAUCGAGCAAAUCUACAGAAUCUGGUGAAUCUGCUGCCUCGUAAAAACAUCCUCCAUCCGAGCAACAUCCUCCGAGAGAAAUUAAAGAAAGGCGACUGGAGCAGGCGCUUAGACAAAGUCAACCCUUUGAUAAAGUUGCCCAGAUGAAUGGACCAGUUGUAGU